GCCGGGGUGAGGUAGCCUGGUUAGCCUGGGGGCCUGUGGAGCCCCAAGCCCGGGUUCAAGACAGUGGAGGAAGUCCCGGCCCCGGCC
Molecule: transfer RNA, 87 nt
Filed under: marine sediment metagenome
Source: RNAcentral